This 383-nucleotide ribosomal RNA is filed under the name uncultured bacterium. Its description in RNAcentral is "bacterial SSU rRNA". It matches the Rfam family "Bacterial small subunit ribosomal RNA", at positions 28 to 412 of the family's 1533-position model. The record is from RNAcentral.
GACGAACGCUGGCGGCGUGCUUAACACAUGCAAGUCGAGCGGUAAGGCCCUUUCGGGGGUACACGAGCGGCGAACGGGUGAGUAACACGUGGGUGACCUGCCCUCAGCUCUGGGAUAAGCCUGGGAAACCGGGUCUAAUACUGGAUAUGACUCCAUGACGCAUGUUGUGGGGUGGAAAGCCUUGUGCGGCUGAGGAUGGGCCCGCGGCCUAUCAGCUUGUUGGUGGGGUGANGGCCUACCAAGGCGACGACGGGUAGCCGGCCUGAGAGGGCGACCGGCCACACUGGGACUGAGACACGGCCCAGACUCCUACGGGAGGCAGCAGCGGGGAAUCUUGCGCAAUGGGCGAAAGCCUGACGCAGCGACGCCGCGUGAGGGAUGAC